AUGGAUCCUUCGGGAGAAAUAAGGAGUGGAAAGUGGCGAACGGGUGAGUAACGCGUGGGUAACCUGCCUCAUGGAAAGGAAUAGCCUCGGGAAACUGGGAGUAAAGCCUUAUAUUAUUAAGACAUCGCAUGGUGUUUUAAUGAAAACUCCGGUGCCAUGAGAUGGACCCGCGUCCCAUUAGCUAGUUGGUGAGAUAACAGCCCACCAAGGCAACGAUGGGUAACCGGUCUGAGAGGGCGAACGGUCACACUGGAACUGAGACACGGUCCAGACUCCUACGGGAGGCAGCAGUGGGGAAUAUUGCGCAAUGGGGGCAACCCUGACGCAGCAAUACCGCGUGAGUGAAGAAGGUUUUCGGAUCGUAAAACUCUUUUAUUGGGGAAGAAGAAGUGACGGUACCCAAUGAAGAAGUCCCGGCUAACUACGUGCCAGCAGCCGCGGUAAUACGUAGGGGACAAGCGUUGUCCGGAAUCACUGGGCGUAAAGGGCGCGUAGGCGGUUUUAUAAGUCAGAUGUGAAAGGUACCGGCUCAACCGGUGACGUGCAUUUGAAACUGUAAGACUUGAGUACUGGAGAGGCAAGUGGAAUUCCUAGUGUAGCGGUGAAAUGCGUAGAUAUUAGGAGGAACACCGGUGGCGAAGGCGGCUUGCUGGACAGAUACUGACGCUGAGGUGCGAAAGCGUGGGGAGCGAACAGGAUUAGAUACCCUGGUAGUCCACGCCGUAAACGAUGAUGACUAGGUGUUGGGGAAACUCAGUGCCGCAGUUAACACAUUAAGUCAUCCGCCUGGGGAGUACGACCGCAAGGUUGAAACUCAAAGGAAUUGACGGGGACCCGCACAAGCAGCGGAGCAUGUGGUUUAAUUCGAAGCAACGCGAAGAACCUUACCAGGCCUUGACAUCCUCUGACCAUCCUAGAGAUAGGAGAUUUCCUUCGGGAACAGAGAGACAGGUGGUGCAUGGUUGUCGUCAGCUCGUGUCGUGAGAUGUUGGGUUAAGUCCCGCAACGAGCGCAACCCUUGCCUUUAGUUGCCAGCAUUAAGUUGGGCACUCUAAAGGGACUGCCGUAGACAAUACGGAGGAAGGUGGGGACGACGUCAAAUCAUCAUGCCCCUUAUGGCCUGGGCUACACACGUGCUACAAUGGGUUGGGACAAAGGGAAGCGAAGCCG
Molecule: ribosomal RNA, 1170 nt
Filed under: Eubacterium barkeri
Lineage: Bacteria; Bacillati; Bacillota; Clostridia; Eubacteriales; Eubacteriaceae
Description: bacterial SSU rRNA
Rfam family: Bacterial small subunit ribosomal RNA
Source: RNAcentral